This 407-nucleotide ribosomal RNA is filed under the name uncultured bacterium. RNAcentral describes it as "partial 16S ribosomal RNA". It matches the Rfam family "Bacterial small subunit ribosomal RNA", at positions 30 to 526 of the family's 1533-position model. The record is from RNAcentral.
AUUGAACGCUGGCGGCAGGUCUAACACAUGCAAGUCGAACGGAGCGGCGGAUGGGUGAGUAAUGCCUAGGAAUCUGCCUGGUAGUGGGGGGUAACGUCCGGAAACGGGAGCUAAUACCGCAUACUAUUAGAUGAGCCUUGGUCGGAUUAGCUAGUUGGGGGGGUAUAGGCCUACCAGGGCGACGAUCCGUAACUGGUCUGCGAGGAUGAUCAGCCACACUGGAACUGAGACACGGUCCAGACUCCGACGGGAGGCAGCAGUGGGGAAUAUUGGACAAUGGGCGAAAGCCUGAUCCAGCCAUGCCGCGUGUGUGAAGAAGGUCUUCGGAUUGUAAAGCACUUUAAGUUGGGAGGCGUUACCAACAGAAUAAGCACCGGCUAACUUCGUGCCAGCAGCCGCGGUAAUUC